RNAcentral lists this transfer RNA (28 nucleotides) under Myzus cerasi (black cherry aphid). RNAcentral describes it as "partial tRNA-Leu". The record is from RNAcentral. Lineage: Eukaryota; Metazoa; Arthropoda; Insecta; Hemiptera; Aphididae.
UUAAUAAAGAUUAAUCUUUUUUUAGAAA